RNAcentral lists this ribosomal RNA (1219 nucleotides) under Serratia nematodiphila. RNAcentral's name for it is "bacterial SSU rRNA". It matches the Rfam family "Bacterial small subunit ribosomal RNA", at positions 30 to 1253 of the family's 1533-position model. The record is from RNAcentral. Lineage: Bacteria; Pseudomonadati; Pseudomonadota; Gammaproteobacteria; Enterobacterales; Yersiniaceae.
UGGACUAAGGGGACCGGCCUUACACAUGCAAGUCGAGCGGUAGCACAGGGGAGCUUGCUCCCUGGGUGACGAGCGGCGGACGGGUGAGUAAUGUCUGGGAAACUGCCUGAUGGAGGGGGAUAACUACUGGAAACGGUAGCUAAUACCGCAUAACGUCGCAAGACCAAAGAGGGGGACCUUCGGGCCUCUUGCCAUCAGAUGUGCCCAGAUGGGAUUAGCUAGUAGGUGGGGUAAUGGCUCACCUAGGCGACGAUCCCUAGCUGGUCUGAGAGGAUGACCAGCCACACUGGAACUGAGACACGGUCCAGACUCCUACGGGAGGCAGCAGUGGGGAAUAUUGCACAAUGGGCGCAAGCCUGAUGCAGCCAUGCCGCGUGUGUGAAGAAGGCCUUCGGGUUGUAAAGCACUUUCAGCGAGGAGGAAGGUGGUGAGCUUAAUACGCUCAUCAAUUGACGUUACUCGCAGAAGAAGCACCGGCUAACUCCGUGCCAGCAGCCGCGGUAAUACGGAGGGUGCAAGCGUUAAUCGGAAUUACUGGGCGUAAAGCGCACGCAGGCGGUUUGUUAAGUCAGAUGUGAAAUCCCCGGGCUCAACCUGGGAACUGCAUUUGAAACUGGCAAGCUAGAGUCUCGUAGAGGGGGGUAGAAUUCCAGGUGUAGCGGUGAAAUGCGUAGAGAUCUGGAGGAAUACCGGUGGCGAAGGCGGCCCCCUGGACGAAGACUGACGCUCAGGUGCGAAAGCGUGGGGAGCAAACAGGAUUAGAUACCCUGGUAGUCCACGCUGUAAACGAUGUCGAUUUGGAGGUUGUGCCCUUGAGGCGUGGCUUCCGGAGCUAACGCGUUAAAUCGACCGCCUGGGGAGUACGGCCGCAAGGUUAAAACUCAAAUGAAUUGACGGGGGCCCGCACAAGCGGUGGAGCAUGUGGUUUAAUUCGAUGCAACGCGAAGAACCUUACCUACUCUUGACAUCCAGAGAACUUUCCAGAGAUGCAUUGGUGCCUUCGGGAACUCUGAGACAGGUGCUGCAUGGCUGUCGUCAGCUCGUGUUGUGAAAUGUGGGGUUAAGUCCCGCAACGAGCGCAACCCUUAUCCUUUGUGCAGCGGACGGCCGGGACUCAAGGAGACUGCAGUGAUAACUGAGAGGUGGGAUGACGUCAGUCAUCAUGCCCUACGAGUAGGCCUACCCACGUGCUAACAAUGCCGUAAUACAAAGGAGAAAA